CGCCUCUUGCAACCAUAAGAGGUCCAGCCUGCCCAGUGAUUUAAUUCAACGGCCGCGGUAUUCUAACCGUGCAAAGGUAGCGUAAUCACUUGUCUUCUAAAUAAAGACCAGUAUGAAAGGCAUCACGAAGACUAAGCUGUCUCCUUUCUCCAAUCAGUGAACCUAAUCUCCCCGUGAAGAAGCGGGGAUUACACCAUAAGACGAGAAGACCCCGUGGAGCUUAAAACAUCAUAACAAUCGUCACACCACCUUUAACCACCCAGAUGUUCUUCCUUAUGACGCCCUGAUUAUAUGUUUUUGGUUGGGGUGACCGUGGAGAAAAAUCAAUCCUCCACAAUGAAAUGGACUUCCUAUCCUAAACAGCAAGUUACAACUUUAUGCAUCAAAAAAUUGACAUUCAUUGACCCAAUAAAUUGAUUAACGAACCAAGUUACCCCGGGGAUAACAGCACAAUCCACUUUAAGAGCCCCUAUCGACAAGUGGGCUUAUGACCUCGAUGUUGGAUCGGGGUAUCCUAGUGGUGCAGCCGCUACUAAAGGUUCGUUUGUUCAACGAUUAAAACCCC
This 565-nucleotide ribosomal RNA is filed under the name Pristimantis platydactylus (flat-fingered robber frog). RNAcentral's name for it is "partial 16S ribosomal RNA". It matches the Rfam family "Bacterial large subunit ribosomal RNA", at positions 1817 to 2597 of the family's 2925-position model. Lineage: Eukaryota; Metazoa; Chordata; Amphibia; Anura; Strabomantidae. The record is from RNAcentral.